AAAGCAGUUCCCUAAGCUCUGUGCAUUUGUUAUUCAAUCUACAGAAAAUCGUCAGCUAGGAACAAAGUGAAACGGAAAAAGACCUGAUUUACGACUAUGAUGUGGUUGAACCAGGCUCACACUAUCAGCAUCCCGAAGACACUUGAAUGGGUUCAAGGUUUCUUCCCUGUAACUUUAUGAAAAGAAGACAAGAUGAUUAGGUAGCAAAUUUGGAAAAAUAGAAAGGAUUGUCAGCAAUCAUAACCAUAACCGUACAGAAUGGAACAUAUUAAAGAAAAGACAACAAUCAAAAGAAUGUUCCUCACUUACAAGGACACCCAAGUGCGAGGUCACAAAAAGCCAAAGACGAUUACAGCAUUUGAUGUCCCACAUAUUGUCCACCAUGCAACCAAAAGAUUGGCAGCUAAUGGCAACAUGGAGCAAGA
This is a long non-coding RNA of Schistocerca piceifrons (Central American locust), 425 nucleotides long. RefSeq lists it as uncharacterized. The transcript has 4 exons. The record is from RefSeq and is a predicted model, not a curated record. Lineage: Eukaryota; Metazoa; Arthropoda; Insecta; Orthoptera; Acrididae.